RNAcentral lists this ribosomal RNA (432 nucleotides) under uncultured bacterium. RNAcentral describes it as "partial 16S ribosomal RNA". It matches the Rfam family "Bacterial small subunit ribosomal RNA", at positions 29 to 506 of the family's 1533-position model. The record is from RNAcentral.
AACGAACGCUGGCGGCAUGCCUAACACAUGCAAGUCGAACGAGACCUUCGGGUCUAGUGGCGCACGGGUGCGUAACGCGUGGGAACCUGCCCUUAGGUUCGGAAUAACUCCCCGAAAGGGGUGCUAAUACCGGAUAAUGUCUUCGGACCAAAGAUUUAUCGCCUUUGGAUGGGCCCGCGUUGGAUUAGCUAGUUGGUAGGGUAAAAGCCUACCAAGGCGACGAUCCAUAGCUGGUCUGAGAGGAUGAUCAGCCACACUGGGACUGAGACACGGCCCAGACUCCUACGGGAGGCAGCAGUGGGGAAUAUUGGACAAUGGGCGAAAGCCUGAACCAGCAAUGCCGCGAGAGUGAUGAAGGCCUUAGGGUUGUAAAGCUCUUUUACCCGGGAUGAUAAUGACAGUACCGGGAGAAGAAGCUCCGGCUAACUCCGU